UUUGACUCAACGCGGGAAAUCUUACCGGGUCCGGACACACUGAGGAUUGACAGAUAUACGCUCAUGCGUGCUUCGGCGCGCUGGGCUGAAAGAUGCUAGUUCUUUCAUGAUUAUGUGAUAGGUGGUGCAUGGCCGUUCUUAGUUCGUGGAGUGAUCUGUCUGCUUAAUUGCGUAUCAAUAAUAGAGACCUAGUAUACGCGUGGAUUUCGCGUGGUAGUGACCCCCUGUUUAACGACAGGCGUGUGUCGCACACGCGUACCUACGCACUGGUCUCAGAUAGCAACGAACGUGACCGUAUUCUAUUGUUGCAGUGAAAUGUGCCUUCGGGSACGACCCACUGCUUAGUGUGAGCUUGCCUCGUGUAAGCAUCACACAUUAAACUAUAGAGACCGCUGUUUCUUCUUUAAACCAGAGGAAGGAUACGGCAAUAACAGGUCUGAGAUGCCUCAGAUGU
This 454-nucleotide ribosomal RNA is filed under the name Ammonia sp. genotype T2. RNAcentral describes it as "SSU rRNA". It matches the Rfam family "Eukaryotic small subunit ribosomal RNA", at positions 1205 to 1499 of the family's 1831-position model. The record is from RNAcentral. Lineage: Eukaryota; Foraminifera; Rotaliida; Rotaliidae.